Molecule: ribosomal RNA, 637 nt
Filed under: uncultured bacterium
Lineage: Bacteria
Description: bacterial SSU rRNA
Rfam family: Bacterial small subunit ribosomal RNA
Source: RNAcentral
GCUCAACCGGGGAGGGUCAUUGGAAACUGGGGAACUUGAGUGCAGAAGAGGAGAGUGGAAUUCCACGUGUAGCGGUGAAAUGCGUAGAGAUGUGGAGGAACACCAGUGGCGAAGGCGACUCUCUGGUCUGUAACUGACGCUGAGGAGCGAAAGCGUGGGGAGCGAACAGGAUUAGAUACCCUGGUAGUCCACGCCGUAAACGAUGAGUGCUAAGUGUUAGGGGGUUUCCGCCCCUUAGUGCUGCAGCUAACGCAUUAAGCACUCCGCCUGGGGAGUACGGUCGCAAGACUGAAACUCAAAGGAAUUGACGGGGGCCCGCACAAGCGGUGGAGCAUGUGGUUUAAUUCGAAGCAACGCGAAAAACCUUACCAGGUCUUGACAUCCUCUGGCAAUCCUAAAGAUAGGACGUCCCCUUCGGGGGCAGAGUGACAGGUGGUGCAUGGUUGUCGUCAGCUCGUGUCGUGAGAUGUUGGGUUAAGUCCCGCAACGAGCGCAACCCUUGAUCUUAGUUGCCAGCAUUCAGUUGGGCACUCUAAGGUGACUGCCGGUGACAAACCGGAGGAAGGUGGGGAUGACGUCAUAUCAUCAUGCCCCUUAUGACCUGGGCUACACACGUGCUACAAUGGACAGAACAAAG